AUGUUAUAUCAAACCUCCUACUCUGAUGUAAAAAGUGGAAGUAUUGAAGCCUGAGUGACAGGCCCUGAGCCGAAACUUCUAAUUCAGUAUGUAAUCAUUAGUGAAAUAUAUAUGGAAGACGG
Molecule: long non-coding RNA, 122 nt
Organism: Athene cunicularia (burrowing owl)
Lineage: Eukaryota; Metazoa; Chordata; Aves; Strigiformes; Strigidae
Exons: 3
Source: RefSeq, a predicted model, not a curated record